Molecule: ribosomal RNA, 301 nt
Filed under: uncultured bacterium
Lineage: Bacteria
Description: partial 16S ribosomal RNA
Rfam family: Bacterial small subunit ribosomal RNA
Source: RNAcentral
CAGUCGCCGCGGUAAUACGUAGGUCCCGAGCGUUGUCCGGAUUUAUUGGGCGUAAAGGGAGCGCAGGCGGUUUAGUAAGUCUGGAGUUAAAGGCACUGGCUCAACCAAUGUAUGCUUUGGAAACUGUUUGACUUGAGUGCAGAAGGGGAGAGUGGAAUUCCAUGUGUAGCGGUGAAAUGCGUAGAUAUAUGGAGGAACACCAGUGGCGAAGGCGACUCUCUGGUCUGUAACUGACGCUGAGGCUCGAAAGCGUGGGUAGCAAACAGGAUUAGAUACCCCAGUAGUCCCUGUCUCUUAUACU